CGGCGGACGGGUGAGUAACACGUGGGCAACCUGCCCUGCAGAUCGGGAUAACUCCGGGAAACCGGUGCUAAUACCGAAUAGUUUGCGGCCUCUCAUGAGGCUGUAGAGAAAGACGGUUUCGGCUGUCACUGCAGGAUGGGCCCGCGGCGCAUUAGCUAGUUGGUGAGGUAACGGCUCACCAAGGCCACGAUGCGUGGCCGACCUGAGAGGGGGAUCGGCCACACUGGGACUGAUACACGGGCCAGACUCCUACGGGAGGCAUCAGUAGGGAAUCUUCCGCAAUGGACGAAAGUCUGACGGAGCAAUGCCGCGUGAGUGAAGAAGGUUUUCUGAUCGUAAAACUCUGUUGUGAGGGAAGAACAAGUACCAAUUAACUACUGGUACCUUGACGGUACCUCACCAGAAAGCCACGGCUAACUACGUGCCAUCCGGAAUUGCAAUACGUAAGUGGCUAGCGUUGUCCUGAAUUAUUGGGCGUAAAGCGCGCGCAGGUGGUCCUUUAAGUCUGAUGUGAAAGCCCACGGCUCAACCGUGGAGGGUCAUUGGAAACUGGGGGACUUGAGUGCAGAAUAGGAAAGUGGAAUUCCACGUGUAGCGGUGAAAUGCGUAGAGAUGUGGAGGAACACCACUGGCGAAAGCGACUUUCUGGUCUGUAACUGACACUGAGGCGCGAAAGCGUGGGGAGCAAACAGGAUUAGAUACCCUGGUAGUCCACGCUCGUACACGAUGAGUGCUAAGUGUUACGGGGUUUCCGC
RNAcentral lists this ribosomal RNA (755 nucleotides) under Planococcus sp. Idr. Its description in RNAcentral is "bacterial SSU rRNA". It matches the Rfam family "Bacterial small subunit ribosomal RNA", at positions 96 to 837 of the family's 1533-position model. Lineage: Bacteria; Bacillati; Bacillota; Bacilli; Caryophanales; Caryophanaceae. The record is from RNAcentral.